CUUCAUGAGUUCACAUUGAUCUCUGGGUCUGGUUUCCUUCCUCUGUGAAGGGGAGGGGGGCCUGUGGACUCAGUCAUCUGGGACCGGCAGGCACCUCACAUCGCUCUCUGGUGUGCACUUAAGCACACAUGCUUUUUGGUACUGGGACUCGAACUUAGGACCUUGUGAUUGUCAGGAAGGCGCUUAUGCAGAGCAAGAAACUAAGGCCUUGAGAUACCCCAAAGCUUGCCUAGGGCCACGGAACUCAUCCUGACACAGCCUCCUGGCCUCUCCUGCGCCCUCAGCUGCUGCAGCCUCCCAGACCCUGCACCCCACUUCCAUCCUGCACCCAGUGAACAACUUCUCCUUUAAGAUCUCACUCGAGGCUCUCACCUCCACCCAGGACCAGGAACCUUUCUUCCUCUGCAUUCUCCUGCCUUCCAUUGUAACCAGUCUUGGUCUACAUGAAGUAUUUGCUGACUGACUAAACAAGUACCCCAUUUCCUAAGAAGAGGUCAUGAUUGGCAAGGCCACUAUAGGGGCGUUGGCCACCCUGCUGUUGAUUUUUUAGAACCAAGGUGGUUGUAACUGGAAGAUGCUGAGAGGAGCGAUGAAGCCCUUGUGAGACAGACUCCAACAGAAACACAGAUCAACCCCGCUUCCCCUCCCCUGCAUUCCCCUGACUGCAGCUCCCGGCUGGAUGCCUGACUUGUACUGCGCCUCCCCCUGCAGUGAGCAUGCCCCAGGGAGCCUGGCACCAGGGAUUUCCUGGCAGGAGAUGAUUCCAGCCUGGUGCAGCUGUCCUGGUCCGCCUGGCUGCUGUGCCUUAUCCUGGAGUUUUCAAGCUCCCUCCAGACAACCCCACCCUGUGUCCAAUAACCAAGCACCACAAAGGUAGCAUCAGUGUUAUGAUUACCGGCGUUCCGUCCUUCCCCAAGACUCAACAGUUUCCAUCACGGAAAAUGGUGACGAGGUGGAAGGAGAGGAUAAAUUACAUUACAGUUUCCAAAAUGGUUCUCGCUCUCCACCGAAGGUGGGCCACCGUCGGGGCGGCUCCUGCGCUCGUGGUCCCAGCUUGUGCUUUUUUGCAAGAAGAGGGGAUAUAACUAGACUGGUUAUUUUAGGUUAAAAUAGCCAAGAGACAGACGCUUUUGCCUCAAAAAUAUUCUGAGACACAUACAAGUAGAAGGAAACAAGUCUCUUCAGUCACAAAAUGUCGUACAUCCCGCAUAGACUAGAUUCAAUUAAUUUAAUAAAAUAGAAUAUACAUAGA
This is a long non-coding RNA of Cavia porcellus (domestic guinea pig), 1252 nucleotides long. RefSeq lists it as uncharacterized. NCBI's taxonomy places the organism in Eukaryota, Metazoa, Chordata, Mammalia, Rodentia, Caviidae. The transcript has 5 exons. The record is from RefSeq and is a predicted model, not a curated record.